GUAACCUUUUAUUAGGAGCUAGCCGUCGAAGGUGGGACAGAUGAUUGGGGUGAAGUCGUAACAAGGUAGCCGUAUCGGAAGGUGCGGCUGGAUCACCUCCUUUCUAAGGA
Molecule: ribosomal RNA, 110 nt
Filed under: Mammaliicoccus lentus
Lineage: Bacteria; Bacillati; Bacillota; Bacilli; Caryophanales; Staphylococcaceae
Description: Staphylococcus lentus partial 16S ribosomal RNA
Rfam family: Bacterial small subunit ribosomal RNA
Source: RNAcentral